Molecule: ribosomal RNA, 515 nt
Filed under: uncultured bacterium
Lineage: Bacteria
Description: bacterial SSU rRNA
Rfam family: Bacterial small subunit ribosomal RNA
Source: RNAcentral
GAGUUUGAUCCUGGCUCAGGAUGAACGCUGGCGGCGUGCCUAACACAUGCAAGUCGAACGAAGCACCUUUUGAGAUUCUUCGGAUGAUCGAUCGGUGACUGAGUGGCGGACGGGUGAGUAACGCGUGGGUAACCUACCCUGUACAGGGGGAUAACAGCUGGAAACGGCUGCUAAUACCGCAUAAGCGCACGAGGAGACAUCUCCUUGUGUGAAAAACUCCGGUGGUACAGGAUGGGCCCGCGUCUGAUUAGCUGGUUGGCAGGGUAACGGCCUACCAAGGCAACGAUCAGUAGCCGGUCUGAGAGGAUGAACGGCCACAUUGGAACUGAGACACGGUCCAAACUCCUACGGGAGGCAGCAGUGGGGAAUAUUGCACAAUGGGGGAAACCCUGAUGCAGCAACGCCGCGUGAGUGAAGAAGUAUCUCGGUAUGUAAACUUCUAUCAGCAGGGAAGAAAAUGACGGUACCUGACUAAGAAGCCCCGGCUAACUACGUGCCAGCCGCCGCGGUAAUAC